This 497-nucleotide ribosomal RNA is filed under the name uncultured bacterium. Its description in RNAcentral is "partial 16S ribosomal RNA". It matches the Rfam family "Bacterial small subunit ribosomal RNA", at positions 28 to 507 of the family's 1533-position model. The record is from RNAcentral.
GAUGAACGCUGGCGGCGUGCCUAAUACAUGCAAGUCGAGCGAACGGACGAGAAGCUUGCUUCUCUGAUGUUAGCGGCGGACGGGUGAGUAACACGUGGAUAACCUACCUAUUAGACUGGGAUAACUUCGGGAAACCGGAGCCAAUACCGGAGAAUAUUUUGAACCGCAUGGUUCAAAAGUGAAAGACGGUCUUGCUGUCACUUAUAGAUGGAUCCGCGCUGCAUUAGCUAGUUGGUAAGGUAACGGCUUACCAAGGCAACGAUGCAUAGCCGACCUGAGAGGGUGAUCGGCCACACUGGAACUGAGACACGGUCCAGACUCCUACGGGAGGCAGCAGUCGGGAAUCUUCCGCAAUGGGCGAAAGCCUGACGGAGCAACGCCGCGUGAGUGAUGAAGGUCUUCGGAUCGUAAAACUCUGUUAUUAGGGAAGAACAUAUGUGUAAGUAACCGUGCACAUCUUGACGGUACCUAAUCAGAAAGCCACGGCUAACUUCGUG